This 240-nucleotide unclassified non-coding RNA is filed under the name soil metagenome. Its description in RNAcentral is "partial contains 5.8S ribosomal RNA, internal transcribed spacer 2, and large subunit ribosomal RNA". The record is from RNAcentral.
AACGAGGCCGACCUGCGGCUGAGUUACCUGCGGAGGGAUCAUUACACAAUACAAUAUGAAGGCUGUCCGCAGCUGGAGUAUUUUAUUACCCUUGUCUUUUGCGCACUUGUUGUUUCCUGGGCGGGUUCGCUCGCCACCAGGACCACCAAAUAAACCUUUUUUAUGCAGUUGCAAUCAGCGUCAGUACAAACGAUGUAAAUCAUUUACAACUUUCAACAAUGGAUCUCAGAUCGGAAGAGC